GUAGGUGGCAAGCGUUGUCCGGAAUUAUUGGGCGUAAAGCGCGCGCAGGCGGUCCUUUAAGUCUGAUGUGAAAGCCCACGGCUCAACCGUGGAGGGUCAUUGGAAACUGGGGGACUUGAGUACAGAAGAGGAAAGCGGAAUUCCAAGUGUAGUGGUGAAAUGCGUAGAGAUUUGGAGGAACACCAGUGGCGAAGGCGGCUUUCUGGUCUGUAACUGACGCUGAGGCGCGAAAGCGUGGGGAGCAAACAGGGAUUAGAUACCCUGGUAGUCCACGCCGUAAACGAUGAGUGCUAAGUGUUAGGGGGUUUCCCGCCCCUUAGUGCUGCAGCUAACGCAUUAAGCACUCCGCCUGGGGAGUACGGCCGCAAGGCUG
RNAcentral lists this ribosomal RNA (373 nucleotides) under uncultured organism. Its description in RNAcentral is "partial 16S ribosomal RNA". It matches the Rfam family "Bacterial small subunit ribosomal RNA", at positions 527 to 896 of the family's 1533-position model. The record is from RNAcentral.